GAAAUUGUAACUUAGGACGAGAGGGCUCAUGGGAGCACAGAGGAAGGCCAGCCCACCCGGAGACCAGCGAUGGCCUCCCUGAGGACCGGCCUUGCAAAAGAGGAGGUGGAGCCCAGAGUGGGGGCCAGUGUAGUUAAGAAGGCAUUCCAGCUGGAGCCACUAACCCCACCCAGCAGGCAUGGAGAGAGGAGCUGGGAGGACUGCGGGGAGUGGGGACGUGUGCACGCCCACCCCCAAUCCCGGACUGCUUCCCCAUCUCUGUGUGGUAAAUAUGGGGCAGCUGGGGUGGAAGCGAUGUCAGGAGGUGGCAGGCAAGCGCAAAUGCCAAGCAUCUGA
Molecule: long non-coding RNA, 336 nt
Filed under: Ursus maritimus (polar bear)
Lineage: Eukaryota; Metazoa; Chordata; Mammalia; Carnivora; Ursidae
Description: lncRNA (ENSUMAG00000004509.1)
Source: RNAcentral